ACGUACACUCCUACGGGAGGCAGCAGUGGGGAAUAUUGGACAAUGGGCGCAAGCCUGAUCCAGCCAUGCCGCGUGAGUGAUGAAGGCCCUAGGGUUGUAAAGCUCUUUUGUGCGGGAAGAUAAUGACGGUACCGCAAGAAUAAGCCCCGGCUAACUUCGUGCCAGCAGCCGCGGUAAUACGAAGGGGGCUAGCGUUGCUCGGAAUCACUGGGCGUAAAGGGUGCGUAGGCGGGUCUUUAAGUCAGGGGUGAAAUCCUGGAGCUCAACUCCAGAACUGCCUUUGAUACUGAAGAUCUUGAGUUCGGGAGAGGUGAGUGGAACUGCGAGUGUAGAGGUGAAAUUCGUAGAUAUUCGCAAGAACACCAGUGGCGAAGGCGGCUCACUGGCCCGAUACUGACGCUGAGGCACGAAAGCGUGGGGAGCAAACAGGAUUAGAAACCCCGGUAGUCCCAUGAU
This 456-nucleotide ribosomal RNA is filed under the name uncultured organism. RNAcentral's name for it is "partial 16S ribosomal RNA". It matches the Rfam family "Bacterial small subunit ribosomal RNA", at positions 329 to 801 of the family's 1533-position model. The record is from RNAcentral.